GGUGUGCUGGACCACAGCCGGUACAAAGAAAGUGCUAAAGCUUACAGGGUUAUGGAGAAAACAGCAAAAGUUAACCUAUUCAAUAUGCUUGUAAAAGAAAGGCUUACAUGCAUUAUUCUCAAACAAUAUUCAUGACAAUGUUUAUCACCUUCUAUCUAACUGGACAUACCUCGUGAUAACUCUAAAUAAUGGCAAUAUAACACUUAACUUUGUCUCUUUAAUGAUUAUUCAUAAUCCUUCAAAGAAAAAUACACCUUAGGCCAUCAAUGAGACCUUUAUAAUGACAACUCACCUGUAACUUCACUCAAAUACUUCAAGAAUCAAAUAUUUUAAAGAUAUUACAAACAUUAAAAUGUGUCAUUUUUCCUCAUGUGCCAAGAUGUGGCCUGUGAAACCUAAGACACGAGAUGUUUCCUUUGAUAAUUUUGAAUUAGUCUUGUAAACAGUACUUUCAGAAGCAGUUGUAUGCCUCACUAAAUACAAUUCUUACAGCUAUAGGGUGUUUUACACCACUAGAAUCCACUACAAAGCACUUCAAAAUAUAUAUUUUUAAACAGAAAAGGGGGAAUGCCUAGUGCUAUGUAUACCCUAAAACAGGUGACACUAUUAAAAGGAUUUUAUAUAUUUUUAAAAAUUAAGACAAAGGAUUUCCUUUAUUUAAAGAAAUUAAGACAAUGGAUUUUAUUUAUUUAAGAAUAUAGGUAACAGGCCAGCUGUAGUCCACCUCACAAAGGAGCAUGCACAGGACAGCCCCAGAACUGAAUAUUUAAAUAUUCAUGAAUAAAAAAGAGCUCAAGUGGCAUAACAGCCUUUACAGUUUUCCAGAGCCGUUAAGUUUUACAGUGGAAAUUGUGAUUAUACCGACCUAUUUAAGAGUGGUACUCCCCAUGAAAAUGUUAAUUGAAUUUUCCAAGUUAAAAAAAAAAAGAAACAAACCCACACAGCUUCCAGCUGAGGGCUGACUGCAGCCUGGCCAAGGACUGCUUCUCAAUGGGCAUAAUUCCAACUAAGAUGCUCCCUCUCCCACUUUCUCUUGUGGCAGAUAAGCCACGAGGGAUAAAGUCCAAAAUUCGGGUUACAUUCCAUGCAGUCAAGGGAACUUGUGGCAGCAAUGAAGGGCAUGCCAGAGCUCCAUUUGAUUUUUUUAUUCUGUUUCUGAUGUAAAUCAAGAAAGCAUCUUAAAAUUUAAGAGAAAUGGCAUCUGGAACAUGAGCAGCAACCUGCCAAAGAAGUCUGGUUCAAGCUACAUCCAUAAAACUUCUGAUGCUGAUGUGCAAAGUCUAAGUGGGCCAGUGCCACUGGGACCCUGUUCCUGAUGAAAACACUCUGGCAAAAGUCCCCAUUGGUACCAAACAUUGUCAUGAUGAUUCAUCAGCAGCUCCAUCCAUUUUCAUUAUUUUAGCAGCAAUUUGAAACCCAAAGAAAUCCAAAAAUGGGUUUGAAAGCUGCUUAGGAAGAUACUGGGAAUUAGAUUACUGGUAUAAUGUACUCAUAUCCCUAAAUAAAUCAUUCAAUAUUUUUUAUACAAUUUUGUAUGUCGUAUAAUUUUGAAAGUCUACUUCACUCACAUCAUGAGCUCAUUCUCUCUAGACCUGGUACAAUAUUAACAAUAUUAAGACAAAAUGUACUGAGGGAAAGAGAUUAAAAUAGAAGCAAUGAGAACACAGAACUCAAGUACUGGGUAAAGGUAGGAUAAAAAGCAUUCAUAAAGUUAUUUUAACAGAACAACUGAAAAAUAUCCAGGCAAUUUCCAAGUGCUAGGGAGGGACUAAGGAAAUAGUGGCAAUAUUUGGUUGCUGUCAACCUAACAAGGAAAGCUGGGAGCUCUCAGAAGGUCCAAAAUGACAACAAAGCUUCAAAAGUCUGGACAAGCUUUGCAAAAAACACUCAAAAUUUGAGAUCCUUGUCAAAACUAGGCCUCUAAUUUUUAUGCAUCUUUCUCCAAAAUGUGUAUUUUCAAUGCCCAAAGACUUCAUUUUGAUAGCCUAACAAGUUUUGAUUGGUUAAUCUAAUAUUAUAAUAUACAGCAUAAGGCUUCAGAAUAAUUUGAAGUAGAAUGCUGUGCUCCACCAAUAUUUCUCUCAUGUCCCACUUGGCACAGGGAUUUCAUGACAUCCCUUGUUUCCCCAUCACCCCACAGACCCUCCAAAGAGUCUCUGAUUCCUCCCAGACAUUCCUCCCUCCUACCUCUACUUUUGCCUUCCCUCUCAGCAAAGCACAGGCUUUGUUCCCAGCACAGAGCUGGGCACUGCAGACCAGCAGAGGUGACAGAAUAAAUCACUUUGCUAUGGACAGCUGUGUCACUGCCAGCCUUGGGAUGAUGAAAAGCAGUUUUCCUACACCUGUGAAAUCCUUGGGAAUGCACUGGAAAACCAUUACAAAUUGACAUUGUUUGGAAAACAUCGAUGCAUCACAAUACAAGUACUUCUCUGCGCUUUCUGGAGCCCCAGAGCUGGAGGAAGAUGAGCGAGGCUAUUUGCUGCUGCCAAGGAGGCUUUGCGGGUGUGACAGAGCCGCCCAAAGCGGCGAUGCCCAGCAGCCGGGCUGCUCCCCGAGCGAGUGAGGGUGAAACAGAAGAGGAACAGCUCAGGGCAUCGCCCUGGCACUGCUUUGGUGCCAAGCAGCUGGAACUGCUUUAGGACAGCAGGAUCCGGUGAAUUAGCCGAGGGAGGGCUGCUGUGGGCAAGCCCUGGGCUGAGCAGAGCUGUGUGACACGCGAGUGACGAACGCGCCGCAGCGCUGUGGGCUCCAGAGGGUUAAACGCGCACCCCGCGGCUGAGAAAUGAUUCCCAAAGAACGAACGCAUCCUUCGGAGAGAUGAAGGCAAGAAAAGCCGUAAUGGAGAUCUAAAAUAAUAAAACAAGCCGGGCCAUCUGGCACCACGUCCCUCCGGAUCUUCCCGCAGCCCUGCCCUCUCGGCAGCCCUCGCCUUCCCAUCUGACAGUCAUUAGGGGCACGGAGCACAUCCAGCCAGGCGCUCCCCUCGUGUCCUGGGUGUUAUUUUAAUUAAAGCAGCGGCAAAUUGGGACAGAUGAUAAAAAUUUACAUUCUGAUCGUUUCCAUACAAUAAAGGUUUCCCGGUGUGGUGAAUAAAGCGCCUUCCUUUUCCAUUUCUUUUCAUCAUAUUCCCUCACUGCUACUACGCUGUACAUGAGCCCUUAAUUAAAGGACACCUAUAUCUGAUUAGCUGGCUUCAUGUAUAGACCAGCACCGUACAUCAAGCAAGGUGCCCAUCCUGGGGUUGCCUUCUCAUUACACAGCACUCUAAUAGCUACAGUGUCCCUACUUAAGAUUUAUUUUAUGCUAGGUUUUAUACUGUGGUUUUAUGCUUUCUUUCCUAGGAAUAAAAUAUUUUCCUCUUUUACCCAAGAAAGGGAUAAUAGAAGUCAGCAGGCAGCUUUUCUCCACUUUGUCCAAAUGCAUUGUCCCCAGCUGUGCAGUUGAGAAGGGGGGGAGUUGCAAAAUUGUCACAACAGUUCUGUCCCUGCUUUCAAGGAUUUCACCAAAAGCAGCAGUAAUUUUAUGGCUUCAGAAGAAGUUUGUUGGGUUUUAUGUUGCAACUUUGAUCUCUUCCUGAAUCUAUUGUAGAAAUUAAAAAAAUUAAAAAAUCUUUCAACAGAUUCUUCAGAGCUUGGCUUAUUAGGUAGAAAGAUUUUAACCCAAUUCCCAACCUAGUAACUAAGUUGCAGCUGAUUUGUGUUCCUAAUCUUUCCCUAGAAUGCAUAUUGCUAAUUCUGACCAUAAAAUUUUGCCCUGAUUUCAUGUAUUAUUUCUACCAGCUCCUCUCUGCCCACUCUCCUUCAGUUACAGUCCUUCCACUUUUGAGAUGUAAAAAUGUUCUCAUUUCACCUGCACUGUACAGUGUGGAGCCAAAAGAUAUUCACUGGUAUGGGAGGAAGCUCCGUCCUUCCUUGGUCACUCAUCCUACUGCAAUCCCAGAACAAGCUGCUUCUCCCACCCUAACAGCUGCAGGCUUCCUUCCACUCCUCUGCCCUCUCUGAACCAGCCAAAAGUUCCUCCACACUCCUGCAGGAGCUGGGAAUUACUGGUGCUGCCUUUUUCCUGCCAUUUAGAGUAGCUGGUGUCUCACAGUGUUUUGCCUCUGCUCUGCUGAGCCUGGCUCCUCUUGGCUGAGGAGGUAGGGAUGUUUCUGGAAUGCUACAGAUGGUGUUGGCAGGAGCAAAGUCAUGGCUGGCCCAAACUGAGCUGAGUUUGUGUUGUUAAAUAUUAAUUUUGCCCAUCUCUGCAACUCACCAUCUGUCUCCUGGAACCCAGCAAUGACCCUUCUUCAGUCCAGGUGCUUGGUGACCAUCCUCCCCAGCACCCGCCAGGUUCUGCUCCCACCCUGCUCCCCAUCCCCACCUUCGCACUUCCCUCAGCUCCUCCAGCUCCCCCAGCAGCUGCCAAGUCAUCUGGGCACACUGGGAUCACUAAAAGCCCCUCUGCAGAGCAUGUUACUCAGUCAAAAAGGACUCCUCUUCUUACCCUGAAGGAUUAUGUUACUAUAUAGAGAGCAACAGAGAUGUUUCUAAUACAAACACUUAUUUAAAAAAAAAAAAAAAAAAAGUCCAAAUCUCUAUCGCACUUUCUCCCAAGUAACAAAUAGUUUACGUAAUCAGAUGGUGCUCCUGGGAAGCCAGAGGGUCUCUCUCUCUUAGCAAGCUUCAAAAGGGAUGAGUUCUAAUUGCACUUCACUGUCAGAAAACAAACCAACAGCCCAGUCUCUGACUCAAGCAGGAGACAGUCUCUUCACAUAGAGAUACAAAGAUCUAUUAUUAGUACUAAAAAAAAAAUCUUAUGAAUGUUUAAACUUGUCUUUGGUGUGACAAAGCAAUCCCACAGCACAGAAUGCUUUUUCAAGAAGCAGAUAACAAAGACAGGGUGUGCUGGAUGCCAUGGCAAGGCAUGGGGCCUGGGAGCUGAGGGAGCAGAGAACUCUCUUAGGUGACCUUAGGACUCCUGCAAAGGCUCUGCUUACCUAUUAGAUCAGUCAUGCUUCCCGUUCUCCCAGAAUUCAUCCACAUUGUUUUAACACCAAAGUUAUGAAACAUAAAUUAAAAUUGUAUUUGUCCACCCUCAGAAGAGUGAGACUGAUUUUUCCUAUGAGCAGGGAGCUGAGACCAGCAAUGCAUUCCACAUCCCCCACCAAGAGGGGAGCAGCCACCAGCUUCUCUUUCUUAUAAAAUCUGGAAAAAUCUCUUUAUGGUAAAAUCUGGAAAAUCUGCUUUUCACCUAAGCAAAGAAUGAUGUGUAGCUGUUCAUUUGUCCUAACCCUGGCUUACUCUUCAAUUCAAGUAUCCACAGCAGUCUCAACAACCUGCAAGAAGCACAUGUAUUUUAGGCCAAACUCCUAGCCAUACAUGGAAAUAACAAUUAUAAAGCAGGAUUCUCAUGUAUAAUUAAUGUGUAUGAUACUUUGAUUUGAAAUGGCAAGCAAUAAAUUAUAUAUGAGGUUUAUAAAUGUAUAGGGAAACGUGUAUAGGGACAUAUAUGUAAUCAUAAGUGUUAUUUGUUAUGUUGCUACUGGCCUAUAAUUCAACUGCUGACAUUGUUGAAUAUAUGUUUAUGAUGUAUUUAUUUUAAACUAUUAAACCAAUAAAUCAAUUAGAACUCACAAAGCUACACUGUGCCACCCCUACCUUCCUUUUUCAGCUGUAAUCAAUAACAUACAAUAGAAUAACAUAUGGCCUAAUUUUUCAAGAGAUUUCAUUUAUAAAACAUUGGAGGCACCACAUGAGCUGGCUGCACAUCCUUCAUACACAAACUGAUUACAUCUUUCCUUUGUCCUGCAGGAAAUGUCACAAAUAUUGCAUGAUGCUUGCUUACUCUUGCAAAAAAGUGUCCUUUGCCAUACUAAUGAGGACAAAUGCCAAACUGCAUUGACAUUACAUGUGUUAUACUAUUACCCAGGGAAAUGCAAGCAGUAACUGAAUAGUAAAUGGAUAUUGAUUUACAACCCCAGGUGAAAUUAAAACAGCCUUUCUCAGUGUGGUUGGGUUGGGCUUUUUUGAGCCUUCUUCGAGAAACAAGAAAAAGUCUGCAAAUUCUUUGAGCAAUGGUCAAAAUAAAGCACAUCAUUCAUGUCUAAAUUAUAUUUGUACUACCCAAGAAUAUCUAGUAACUGACAUGAUGAAGGUAAAGGGGCAAAUGAUGAAGGG
This is a long non-coding RNA of Motacilla alba alba, 6158 nucleotides long. RefSeq lists it as uncharacterized. NCBI's taxonomy places the organism in Eukaryota, Metazoa, Chordata, Aves, Passeriformes, Motacillidae. The record is from RefSeq and is a predicted model, not a curated record. The transcript has 4 exons.